AUGUCCCAUCCCCUGUAUAAUCCCUAUGCUCCUGGGAACCAAGGUUCCACCAUGGGACCGUAUGGACUCUCCAGUAUACAGGCAGAGAGGGACCCUCGGAGGGCAUCUUCUCACCUUGGACCUGGGUCCGGCUUCAGCUCUACUGGAGCUUCUUCUGCGACUCCUACCAACUCUGGGGGAAUGAUACCGUCGCUGCUACCGUCGAUGCUACCGUCGCUGAUGCCUCAAGCAAUGGGCUUCAGGCCUGAACAGACUAGAGCCAUAGAUGAGAACAUGGAGAGGUCCAUAGACAUGCAUAUUAGCAGAGCCAGAGAGGAGGUGAGGCUUCUUGGCAAACCAAUGCAUCAACCUAUAGACCAGGGCACUCACUUUCCCAGCACUCAAAGGGAUGAGUUUAUUUCCUCAGGCAGAGGGAUGGGCUCAUACCCAAUGUCCUCAACCUCUGCCCCUCUAGGACAUAGACACUCGGGCGUUGAAAGUGGUAGUAGUUCCUUGGACUGGUCGUCUAACUACAAAAGGCCUGCUGCUGAUGACUACUCUAAAUUUUAUUCAUCAUCUACUUCGUCUAACUAUGCAGGCGGUGAUAACGGUAGGUUUAAUGCCUCCAGUGAAAGGGAACAUGAUAUACCGUCGAUUCCAGGGUUGGGUGAUUUUGACUAUCCAAUGUCAGACCAAUCUCCCAAGUACACCUCUGAAUCAGCUUCCAACAUCCUUGUGCACUUUGGACUUGAAAAAGAGGACUUAGAACAUCUCAUCUCCUACCCUGAAGACCAGAUCACCCCUUCUAACCUGCCGUUCAUCUUGCGGCAAAUCCGCAUUGAGAAGACCAAGAGAGGUACAACUGCAGCUCAGUCAAAACCCCAACCCCCCAGAACUGUGGACAGUAACAGUUUGAGUAGUUCUGGAGGGCCAAGAAUGCGGCAAGAGGAAAUGUCAGGGGCUGUUCACCAGCAAGGUAAAGUGAUUGACUAUGGACAUACCGGCAAAUAUACUGGAGGGACUGGGGAUGAGCUUGGAAGAAACGGUGGCAGUAGGUCUAACAGCGGUGGUAGUGGAAGUAUGUUGCCAAUGGACACUUACGAUAGUAGCAAACUCAACAAAAAUACAACAGAGGUGAAGAGCAGUGCCUUGGGUUCUUCACGUGACCAGACGACUUCUGUUUCCAGCCUCAGCUCUUCGUACAGUUCAAUACUGAACUCUGUGGCGCCCCCAAGUAAUGAGCAGACUAAACGAUUGCAGACCCUACCAAACCAGACUUCCCAAACAAUUCUCAGCUCUUUCUCUCUGCCGAAGAAAGACACAGACUUCAGAAUUCUCAAGGCUGAAGCGCAUAAACCAAUUGCUUUGCAAGAACCACAGGCAGGUCGCCAGACGACGACAAAAACCCAACCACCCUCCACUCAGUACCAUGGUAUGCAUCCCACCCGACCUGGCCUUGUGCUCAUUGGCAGUAAUAAAGCCGGUGGCACUAAGGAUCACAGUAUAACUCGAGGACCAGGGUCAUCAUUUGCUGAGCAGAUGAAAAAUCAGCAGUCGCAGCAGCUGCCAGUUCAGCAGAUGCAGCAUCAGCCGCAGCAGCCGGUAACCCAGAUGGGGCAAGCAAUGUGGCCUCCAGUUUUUUCUGCUGCAAAAUCAGUCCCGCCUGCUUCUCACAUCCCCAGCAUCACUAGUGUCAGGCAACUUCCGGCUGGUCCUCGCCCCAUCGUUCUUCCUCCAGAUUUACUUCAGCCAAUCCCAGGCCUGAUGACCCUCAAUCACCUGAGGCAUCCACCUUCCAUCCCGCAGCCGCCGGCAGUCUUCAAGAGUCUGCCAACUGCGGCCAUGAUGCAUGACUAUGCAGCCGCCUCGCCAAGAAUCUUUCCACAUACCUGUUGUCUGUGUAACAGAGUCUGUACCCUUAUGAAGGUGAGUGGAAGUCUGCACUCUGUUCACAUUCCCCUAUGGAAGUUAUGGGUUGUAUACUUCAAUAUCCGAAAUGUUUGUGUUUCUGAUGUUAAAAUACCAAUUUAA
Cottoperca gobio is the source of this 2010-nucleotide long non-coding RNA. The record is from Ensembl. Lineage: Eukaryota; Metazoa; Chordata; Actinopteri; Perciformes; Bovichtidae.